UCGAGAAUUUUUCUCAAUGGGGGAAACCCUGAAGGAGCGACGCCGCGUGGAGGAUGAAGGUCUUCGGAUUGUAAACUCCUGUCAUUGGGGAACAACUGUCGCACGUUAACUGCGUGGGGCUUGAUAGUACCCGAAGAGGAAGAGACGGCUAACUCUGUGCCAGCAGCCGCGGUAAUACAGAGGUCUCAAGCGUUGUUCGGAUUCAUUGGGCGUAAAGGGUGCGUAGGCGGCGCCGUAAGUCAGGUGUGAAAUCUCGGGGCUCAACCCCGAAACUGCACUUGAUACUGCGGUGCUUGAGGACUCGAGAGGAGAUUGGAAUUCACGGUGUAGCAGUGAAAUGCGUAGAUAUCGUGAGGAAGACCAGUGGCGAAGGCGGAUCUCUGGAGAGUUCCUGACGCUGAGGCACGAAGGCCAGGGGAGCAAACGG
This 427-nucleotide ribosomal RNA is filed under the name uncultured bacterium. RNAcentral describes it as "bacterial SSU rRNA". It matches the Rfam family "Bacterial small subunit ribosomal RNA", at positions 355 to 775 of the family's 1533-position model. The record is from RNAcentral.